RNAcentral lists this transfer RNA (72 nucleotides) under Radula japonica. RNAcentral describes it as "tRNA-Met". It matches the Rfam family "tRNA". Rfam says of the family: Transfer RNA (tRNA) molecules are approximately 80 nucleotides in length. Their secondary structure includes four short double-helical elements and three loops (D, anti-codon, and T loops). Further hydrogen bonds mediate the characteristic L-shaped molecular structure. tRNAs have two regions of fundamental functional importance: the anti-codon, which is responsible for specific mRNA codon recognition, and the 3' end, to which the tRNAs corresponding amino acid is attached (by aminoacyl-tRNA synthetases). tRNAs cope with the degeneracy of the genetic code in two manners: having more than one tRNA (with a specific anti-codon) for a particular amino acid; and 'wobble' base-pairing, i.e. permitting non-standard base-pairing at the 3rd anti-codon position. Lineage: Eukaryota; Viridiplantae; Streptophyta; Jungermanniopsida; Radulales; Radulaceae. The record is from RNAcentral.
CCUACUUAACUCAGUGGUUAGAGUUUUGCUUUCAUACGGCAAGAGUCAUUGGUUCAAAUCCAAUAGUAGGUA